Molecule: non-coding RNA, 853 nt
Organism: Cajanus cajan (pigeon pea)
Lineage: Eukaryota; Viridiplantae; Streptophyta; Magnoliopsida; Fabales; Fabaceae
Source: RefSeq, a predicted model, not a curated record
UCUCCUGUUAUGCUUCCCCUACUUUCUCUCUCUUCCGCUUCUCUUUCUUUUCAAACACUAAUCGUCUUUCUUUUCCUUCCAACCCAAACUCACUCAUCUUUCACUCUUUCUCUCCCUCCCAAUAAGCUUCAUGCUUUAGCUCACUCUUCUCUUUGUUUCGUUUCGUUCAAAAAUUCACCAACAGUUUAAUCUUUUGAUCCCUUUUCUUUUUAUUCUGUUCAUAAAUUGAGUAUAUAUACCUUUUGCGUACUUACAUGCUGAUCUUGUGGAUCUAAAUGUCUCUUUUUGUUUUUCUGUGUCCUAGGGUAUUGUACGUCCUGAUUUUAUGGACUUUUUCUUUUCUCUUCAUAGACAAGAACUGGAGUUGCAGGAUUUUUGGUUAAAAAACAAUUAAUGAUGCAAUCUUUGUAGUGAAUGACGUGUGCAGCAAAACCAAAACCUAUAUAACCUCAAAAAAGCGAACUAAUCCAGCUUUUGGUUCUCACUCCAAGAAGAAGGAUUGGAUCCACAUUAUAGUUUAUGACACCGGGAAAGUUACAAGUUUUUCACAGGAAGAGAGAGAACGAAGAGGAAGUAAGGAUGGUCGAAGAAGUACGUUACGAAGAUGAAAGAAGGAAAAACAAAAGAAGAAAAUAUGGUAGAGAAGGUUCACCAAAGAAAUUUGGUACAAAAGGCCCAUAUAAUGGUGUGAUGUAUUAUAAACCACAUGUGAAAUUAGUUCAUCAUAGCAUUGAUCAUUAUUCUCUAGUUUCUAAAAACAUUAGGAUGGAAAAAGAAUAAACAUAAAAUCAUAAGAUGUGAUUGUGUUUAUAUUGAUUGUUUAAAUAAGCAUAAGGAGAAGGAAAUGCAUUUA